AUGGCUCCUACCGAGGCUGAGGAUGAUGUAGAGGAGGGAGAAGAGAAGAAGAAGAGGGAAAGGAAGGCAGCCGGAGCUGCUUUCACGUGGAUUCAAAAUAACUUUGCGACGUGCCCUCCGGAUGCAACUGAUGAUGUGAUCCAGACACAUGCUCGUGUGUAUAUGUGGUACAUUGUGUCGAGGACUUUGUUUCCUGACUCCACUGGCAAGAACGCACCAUGGAUGUGGCUGAAGGCGUUGACCGUCUUCGAUAGCAAAUGGAGCUGGGGUUCAGCGACUCUUGCCUACUUGUACCGACAGGUAGUUGGUCUGUUUUGUGAUCAACUCAUUUAUUCAUUAGCAAUGCAAGCUUGCUGUCAAGUUAACAUUGUUUUUCUUUCAUAUGUAGCUGGAUGA
This 396-nucleotide ribosomal RNA is filed under the name Triticum aestivum (bread wheat). RNAcentral's name for it is "partial small subunit ribosomal RNA". The record is from RNAcentral. Lineage: Eukaryota; Viridiplantae; Streptophyta; Magnoliopsida; Poales; Poaceae.